This is a long non-coding RNA of Suricata suricatta (meerkat), 536 nucleotides long. RefSeq lists it as uncharacterized. NCBI's taxonomy places the organism in Eukaryota, Metazoa, Chordata, Mammalia, Carnivora, Herpestidae. The record is from RefSeq and is a predicted model, not a curated record. The transcript has 2 exons.
UGCAGCAGGCCCAUGCGCACGUUGGCACCCUCAUCCUGUGGGCUCAGUGCCAGCGCCUGCUGGUAGUCCGCCUCCGCAAAGGCUCUUCUCCUGCUGCUCGUCCCUGAGGGCCUUGUUGAGCAGCAGCACGCCCUCCUGGUAGGCGCCCUGCGUGUAGCAGUGCACCGCGAAGUCGUUGUAGGCCAGCAGAAGCUGUCGCUGCACCUGCCGCACCGUGUCCUCCUGGCUCUUGCUCGUCAUGUCCAGCGCCUUCAGGAAGUCCUCCACAGCAGCGUCAAACUCCUGGAGGCGGCGGUACAUGGUGCCCCUUCGGGGGAGAGGGGCAUGAGGACCAAGGCAACCCCCACCAACCCGGGAGGCCAGCCAGACCGUUGGCCAGUCUGAACCAUCUUGACUGGUAGAGGUGGCAUGAGGGCCCCCCUCCCUCCUCAUGCACUAGUUUAGGUGUGGGGCGGGCUCUGUGUUACCGCUUGGAUAACCUACUGGUCACUGGUAGUUUCAUUUUACUCAAAAAUAGCUUCCACCUUUAUUUUUGG